GCUCUUCCUCUUCAUGCCACAAGUCACCAUGGUCGUAGUCAGCACGGUCGUCAGCCUCUUCUUCAUCGGGGACGUACUGGGCGCGUCCAUCCUGACUUUGGGUCUCGUCGGGGUUGUAGGCAUGGCCCUGCCCACCCUCGAAGAUCACGUCCUCCAUGUACUGGUUGUAGAAGGGGUCGUCGACCGUUGGCGUUGGUGGUGGCAUUCCGUCAAACAAGACGCGGGGGGCUGGCAUGGUGCUCGUGAACGGUGCCCGUGCUUGCUUUCUUUGCAUCUUGACGGACGGCCGGCCGCCGCUGCUUGACCCAGGCGUGACGUUGAGGUCGAUGACGGCCGCGGGGCGCGAUGUGGACGGCGCGAACAAGCCAACGUUCGGCGACCCCGAGAAACGGGUCUGGCCGUCGUGCCUUGGCGGAGGAAAGCCGGGCGACAUGGGCGCGGUCCGCGAUGUCGGCGACUGGCAGUGCGGAGGCCGGGUGACUGACGAGCCUGUGCUCGCCGGGCCGACGGCCGCUGCAGGGAAACCGGCCGGCCGGACCAUGCCAAGCAUGAGGAGGGCGUGCGCUUUGUUGACGAUGUCCUCCUUCUCGUCGACCGCGGCCUUGCGCCGCGCGGCCUCCAUCGCAUCGCGCUCGGCGGCGAACUUGGCCGCGGCGGCAUUGACCUUGACGGCUGCUCUCCGGCCCCUCCUCUUCACCGAUUCCGCAUCCAACUUGGCGAUCUCCUCCGGCGUGCACUCCGACCACGGCUUCCUUGGCGCCUUAGCCGCCUUCUUCUUCACCUUUCUUGGCGAGUCGUCGGCCAGGCCGCCGGAAUUCGGCUGGGCGUCGGCCAUGGACGGGGGAGAGAGGGGGCGGCGGGAGGGACNNNNNNNNNNNNNNNNNNNNNNNNNNNNNNNNNNNNNNNNNNNNNNNNNNNNNNNNNNNNNNNNNNNNNNNNNNNNNNNNNNNNNNNNNNNNNNNNNNNNNNNNNNNNNNNNNNNNNNNNNNNNNNNNNNNNNNNNNNNNNNNNNNNNNNNNNNNNNNNNNNNNNNNNNNNNNNNNNNNNNNNNNNNNNNNNNNNNNNNNNNNNNNNNNNNNNNNNNNNNNNNNNNNNNNNNNNNNNNNNNNNNNNNNNNNNNNNNNNNNNNNNNNNNNNNNNNNNNNNNNNNNGUUUCUCCCACCGACAGGCGGGCCAGGGGAGGACAAGCGCGCAUCCUGCCCGUCCGCAUGAUGUCCGUUUCACCCUAAAACCGGCGCAAACAUGGGCCGGGAUGGGUCGAAGACAGACACAAAACGGACAAAAGUCCGUUUUCGCCCCCGCGCUGGGCCGUCUGGUUUGUCUGUUUUACCCCAAACAGACGGGGGCGGACAGGAUGGGGUCGCGCGGUGGAGUUGGCCUUAGGAGGUUGUCGUUUGUGCUGUGUGUCUGGCUCUACCGUCCACACGACACACCACCACCGCCUGCCGGCGCUUGUUAAUUCUCUAAUUAGGAGUACAAAUUAACAACAACAAAAUUAGCAUGCGCGAGUAAUAACCUCAGCACAUACUGCCAAGUGUGGCACCCCUUUUCUCGCUGUCGCGUGAUUCUCCUCCAUCUCCUCGGUGCGUCGCAGCUGCCCGCUUAGCCUAGUACAGUAGUACUCCUACGUAGUAAGAAUAAGAAGUCUCUUCCUUUUCAUUUCCUUUCUUCUUUUGUCCCGGCCCCGUCAACAUUUUUUUUUUCAGGCUCCUAUUCCAGUUUCCACAGCAAAGAACGGCUGUCGUGGCGGAUCAAACCGCAGGCGCAUGCACGUGUACGAAGCAUGCAUGCAGCCAAGUGCACGUGUACCUACUCGUUUUCUGUUGUUGGGGGAAAAGACAAUGUGUACUGGCACACGGGCGGACCACUGAGUACUUACAUACGUACAUAAAAGUACGUGCGCAUGCUGUAGAAAUACCGGUAUCUACUACAAAGACGCUUUGCUAAUACUUACGUACUUUCUUUAUGGUCCAUCGGUUGGGUUGGAGCCUUUUGCAAAAGGCUACUAGCUUCUUUAUUUCUUUCCUGUACGAUGAAUGGAAUUCUGGGCCUGCCUGCCUGCCUGCCUGCCUCGGUCGCUUUUCAUCGCACACAGGAGGCAGGACCGUGUACGUGCAACAUAUAAUUAAGCUAGCUGCUUGCAUGGCUUUGAUUGAUCAGUUAGGUUAGGUGCGUCCCUUCCUUUUGGCGUCAGGUUAAUUACUUACUGCAUGGUCUUUUGAAGAUGAGUGAUAAUUUGUGAGAUGAUGAUUGUAUGAUGAUCAGGACGAUCAGCUGACAAGCAAGUCGUCGUUAGCGGGCGGGCGGGCGAGGUCUAUAAUGCAUGGCUGAGGUGGCGCGCGCGAAGACACGCAAGCAAGUUGUUGAGCGAGGGAUGCCCCGUCCGUCCGUCCACAUGCGUUUGCCGCUUAGUUUCCUCUUGUGCUGUUGGAGUGUCCCCGUCAGCCAACACAAGCGUGCGCCCGUCAACCGAUCAAUGAUAUGUAUAUGUCCGGAUGGAGUUGGUGUGGUUUCGGUAUGUAUGAUCCACGUGCCCGACUCAACGUGCAUGCAUGCACCCAGCUCGAUCCACCGCUUGACACCAUCCAUCCACUACGAUCCAUCCAGCAGGAAAGAUCGGUCGAGAGUGCAGCGAAUUACUUACACAGCUUGAGUUCAGUCGGUCUGUAUAAAAACAAAUGCAUACGUGUAGGUACGUAUAUGAUUGAUUAGCUUAGGCAUCGCCAUCCAAGUUGCCAUGAUAAUGUAUACUCCUAUUUGUGUCAAGUUGUAGGUGUGUAGCGGCGGGCGAGGCUUGCUUGGCUGGGUUGCCAUGUGGCAUCGUCAAGUCACAGAUUAAUAGACAGACAGAUUGCGCAUGAGGCGUACAGCUGACCCAUGCACGAUGCGUCGCGUACAAUGAUAGUGCUAGCUGCCACUCGAUUAUGGUCAUGCAAGUACGCAAUACUGUAAACCAAACAGUACGCCAAAAGCAAUAACAAAGUGUUGAUCCCAGAACAAAGAGGAAAAAAUCCCAUAAAAACACACACACACACACACAGAGAGAGAGAGAGAGAGAGAACACCCCCGUGCUCAAAAACACCCAAAAGGUCUUUUGAAAACACCCAAAGGACACCCGUUAUGGAUCACUUCUUCUGAGAGAAGAAAUGUUGCUGAUUUACUUUUUUUAAUUUUUAUUUUUGAGACAAGAUUUGCUUUUUUUUAGAGAGAGAAAGAAAUGUUGCUGCUGAUGGUCCAAGACUGUCAUUCGGUAGGCCCAAGGGCAACCAGAGAGACACGUUGGUAAUUGUGGCCCAUCAAGAAAAAAAAAGGAGGGGAAACGAAAAAAGAAACGACGCCUGAGAGAUUCGAACUCUCGCGGGGAAACCCCAUGUACUUAGCAGGCACACGCCUUAACCACUCGGCCAAAGCGUCGCUUGGUGACCAUUCUUCGAAUGGAAGACUGUCAUACACAGGCGACGACGCAAAGCACUUGAGAGAGGCUGAUUGGUUGGAGGAAGCAUGCACCCAUGUAAGCAUACAAGUUGUCAACAUCUGAAACCAAAUGUACUCCUUACUUUCCUAACAACCUGUUACCUUUGGGCUUUGGGCAGUACUGUCCCAUAAAGGCAUGCAUAACCAAGUCUCUCUCAGGUCACAUGUACAAGGAAAUUGCUGUGCGGACGAUCUUUCAUGCACGAUUUUGUGCAUAACAUGUUUUUGAAGCCACACAAUUUUUUUUUCAAAAAAGUCAAUCCAAUGGUGUAUGUGGCUUAUCAUGUGUGGAUCGUCCAUGAAUUCAUCGUCUGCCUAGCAGUGCUCCUUGUACAAACCAUGUAUUCCGAGCACUAGUGCACUUUCCAAGCAUCCAAGCAUGGAUCCCAACCAUUGUUAAUAAAAAUCGAAAAGCUUUUUACUACGCCAUCGGUCCAUAUUAGCUUUGGUCCAUAAUCUGAAAUAUAUCUGUCAUUGUAACUGUUUGGAAGAGCACAACCAUGAGGGAGUCAAAUAUCUACAAGUACUUUAAUCUGCACACUAUAUUCAAAAGAUACACAUAUUUUUUUAGUGUAGUGCAAUUAGUGUUGAAGAGGACAUAAGAGCAUCUCCGAUAGCUGGGAAAUGCCCUUUGGUUACUGGGUGUAUAUAUACACCCGAUAUAGAUCCUGGGUGUAUGUACACCCGAUAUAGAGAAAAAUAAAUAAUUAAAAAGUCGAAGAAGUUCAUAAGUUUUUUAAACAAGGCUGACUUUCUUUUGCACUAGUAUAUAACUUUUUUUGAAUAAAAAAAUUCCGUGACUUCAUGGAAAAAAAUAGUAAUUUAUUGCUAUAUACAAGCCACUAUUCACACUUUUUACCUAUAUUUUCUUAAGUCAACGGGCUUUUUUUUUCUUUCGUGGGAUAUUUUUACGAGUACAAUGAAAGGUCAAGUUUAUUUCAAAAAUAUUUUCAAAUAAUUGACUUUUUUUUUCAUGUAGGGUGUAUAUACACCCAAGAACCAAACUUUACUGUCCUCCAAUAGCUGCCCUAUUUUAGCGCACUUGGAGGCAAAAAACCCUCUCCAACAGCAGCCAGACCAUAAUUUUUUUGGGCAACCCUAAAAUGGGCACCAAUUGCUGCAAAUAUACAUCACUUGGGCGGCUGUCGCAAACUGAUGCGACGCCCAAUCGCAACACUUUCGCUCCCGUGCGUGACCGGUUGCGGCGCCUCCGCCCGCCCGCCGGCUGCUGAAUCCAGCAGUGAAGUUCAACUCAACAAAAUUCAUGCUUUGAUUUUUGUUUCCUCGUAAGAUGGCCGUUGCAUGUUUGGUUCCGCACGCAUCUCAACGAACCUCCUCUCGAGUGAACGUAGUUCUUGUCGGACCUAGCUCGCCAGCCGGUCUAGCUUUGCUUUCAUCAAAGCAACCAAGCUGGCCACCUCCCCGCUGUUCCAUGUACGCUCGACCAUCGUACAAAGUCAUGAUGGGUUCCCCACAUCUCUUCAAAACAAAAUGGCUUGUCCUCAACUAUCCUCUUGUUUGAAGCUUCAACUUCAUUACAUAACACAAUAGGGUAGUGGUCCUAUUUUGCAGCCACCAAGUGACGCAAAGGGAAACAUAGAAUUCAAGCUGGCUGUCACCAAAGCCCUGUCAAGUCCAACUUGACAGAAUUGUCGUCCACUAAAUCUUUUUUGAAAGCUUAUUCGAGAUCAUCGAGUCCACAUAGAUCCACCGCCUCCCUAAAUCCUACCAUCUGAGCCAUAUCUCUCGAAUUAGGUCCCAUUUGUUCCUCUCUCUGACACCUCAUUGAAAUCUCCAAUCCAAAGCCACGAAAGUGUAGAUUCACCCGGUAGUCAAGCCAUCGUGUCCCAAAUCUGCUGGCAAAGGCUUUUGUUAGCCCUGCCAUAGAAGCAUGUUAACCUCCAUUCUCCCUUCCUACUUCUGACAACCGCAUUAGUAUGGUAUUUUGAAAAACUCUUGACCCGUAAAUUAACUCCAUCACGUCAAAACACACCAAUACCAUCACUUCUACUCCCACUACCCACAGCAAAACCAUCAUCAGAACCCAACUUCGUCGUCAAGCCUUCCACUCUCUGUUUUGACAAUUGAGCCGGCCCACAAAUACUUUUUUUGAGGGGAUAGUCCCCAAAUAACUAAGAAGCGGCUUUGGACCGUGAUCUCGCAGCUGAAUUUUUUUCUUGAGGCAUGACUCGCAGCUGAUUUUAUUUUUGAGGGAACGUCGCAGCUAAUUAAAAAACGUGCUUCGUUCGGGUUCGGCCUUUUGUUCCCGUGGAAAAACUGUCCAGAGAGCCCAGAUAAACAAACAAGGCCUACUUUUUUCUACCCGUGUCUUCGAAACGCCUUCCGGGCCGCUCGGUUCGCGCUGGCGCCGACAAUGGAACGAAGCCCACAGGCCCGCGAGAACCCUAGCAAAGAAGCCCCUCCUCCUCUCUCUAUCCGGCCGCACCCUCGCCACCGCGCCUCCCCUCCCCAAAACUUGGCCCCGCCUCCUGCCGCCACCCUCCGUCCUCGCCGCGCCUCCGCCGUUCCGCCCCGGGUUUUCAGGUACGAGGUCCUCUCCACCCAUCUCCUAGCCCGGUCCCGCCUCCUCCAUCCCGAGGGACGACGCGCCGCCCCUGACGAGCAGCAGCCGCCGAAACCUAGGGUUUACUCGCCGUGCGGAUCUCUCACUGCCGCCGCUGAUUCGGUUUGCUCUGCGUGCAGGUCGCCGGCCUUCGCCCCGUCAGCCAGCCGCCGCGUCCAUGGCGGAGGUCGCGCCCGUUGAUGUAAGCAUCCAGCAACUCUCGCAACUUAUUAGAGCCAGGCCUUCUCAUCCGCCGCAGCAGCUUACUGACACGGUCGUUGGUUCUGUCUUUGUUUUGCUUGCAGCAGGGGAAGAAGGAGGAGGAGGAGUUCAGCACGGGGCCCCUCUCCAUUCUCAUGCUCAGCGUCAAGAACAACACUCAGGUUGGUUUGGUCGACCUCUUGCCUCUAUUGAUUCGUUUCUCAGCUUAGCAAGGGCAGAUUUUAUGUAGUAAUUAGUACUUACUGUCUGUCUGCAUAUCCGUGUGGACUGAACACCUGCCCUUCUGGAGAGCUGGUGUUCACCGUUGUGCGUGCACUUGCUAAAACACACCAAUCGACUUAUUCGCCUGUGAUCCCGUCGUGCAAGCGAACACUAGUUUCCCUCUUUAGUGCUACAAUGCUAAGCGCACCAUCACGUAAAUGUGCGAGUAAUUGACCAUUGUUUUGGUGCAGUUUUUCGUCAAAUGCCUUUGGUAAUAUAGUGUGGCACUUCAAAGUUAAAUGCACCAUUGCGUACAUGAGAAUUUAACUACUGCAAAAUUAGAUUCACAAUCGUGUAAUAAUUAGUAAAUACAAUGGUUUCUCUACACCCCUUUUGUCAAUCAAUUGCCCUUUGUAACAGUAUUGUCCUCUUUGUACUGCAAAGUUAAACGCAAUAACCUGUAAUAUGUGAGUAAUUAACCAUCUCGUUGUCACAGAUUUUAGCUCGCUUGAUGUGAUUAUGAUUGCAAGUAAACUGGUUAUUUUCUUCUACUCCGUAACAAAUAUGAAAAAAACUAGAUUUCUAGGCGAUUGCACUUGCACUGACCUUAGUCUAUUUGCAGACUUCCAUCAAUUGCCUUUGGUAAUAGUGCUGCUCUCUUAGUACUGCAAAGUUCAAUACAUCUUCGUGUAAUAAAUGAGUAAACACUAUAGCUUCCCUGCAGCCUUUCCUCAAUCAACCACCUUUGGUAAUAGUGUCCCUUCUUAAUGCUGCAAAGUUAAAUGCACCAACACAUAUAUGAGUAUUUAGAUUUUAGUUUGCCUGAUGUGUUUAUGAUGUAAACUGCAAGUGCACUGAUUAUUUUUUCUACUCGGCAACAAAUACAGGGAAAAUAGACCUCUAGGUGACUGCACUUGCACUGACCAUAGAUGAGUAAUUAACCAUGCUUUUGGUGCAGCCUUUUGCGAGAUGCCUUUGGUAAUGUGUAGUACUGCAAAGUUAAAUGCACCAUCGUGUAUAUAAGUAGUUACUAAGUAUGAACCGUAGUUUCUGUGCAGCCUCUCAUCAGUUGCCCUUGUGAUAGUGCUGCUAUCUUAAUGCUGAGAAGUUGAAUUCAGAAUUGUGUAAUAAUGAAUAAAUAUGAUAGUUUCUCUGCUCCUUUUUGUCAGUCAAUUGCCCUCUGUAACAGUGCCGUCCUCUUGGUACUGCAACGUUGAAUGCAUCAAGGUGAAAUGUAUCUGUAACCAACCAUCUUGUUGUCACAGAUUUUAGCUUGCUUUGUUUGUCUUACAUUAUGGGACGGAGGGAGUAAAUUGCAAUAAACUGGUUUCUUUCUUCUACUUGGUAACAAAUAUGGGGAAAAGUAGAUCUCUAGGUGACUGCACUUGCACUGACUGUAGCCUGUAGGUGAUGUUUUCCAUGUUACAAGUUCUAAUGAUGUAUCCUCUCUUCUGCCUUAGGUGCUUAUCAACUGCAGGAACAACAAGAAGUUGCUUGGUCGCGUGAGGGCAUUUGAUCGUCAUUGCAACAUGGUUCUUGAGAACGUCAGGGAGAUGUGGACUGAGGUAUGUGGUGGCAACAACAUCCCACCCGUUAAAUGCACCGUUUCCUUGUCUUGUCUUGUAUUGCUGCGUCCACUAACAUCCAUUCUGCUCGCUACAGGUUCCAAAGACUGGUAAAGGCAAGAAGAAGGCUCUCCCGGUGAACAAGGACAGGUUCAUAAGCAAGAUGUUCCUCCGCGGGGAUUCGGUCAUCAUCGUCCUCAGGAACCCGAAAUGAGUUUGACGACUCGGCGUGAACCAGAAGAGUCUCUUUUCGCUAUGCUGCUGUUAGUUUGUAUGCCGAAUGCUCUGGAUCAGGGAGUGUGUAAGACACAGUUAUCAUGCAAGCAUUGCCUGUACUGAUUAAUGGUUUGGUGCUGUGGUCUGGAUGUUAUGAAUUCACGUCUUUUGUAGUAUCUAAUCUAACAACGUGCACUGGUAGCCUCUGUUCGGAUCAUCAAUAUGUCUGCUGGAGAGAGUUUUCAGUUUCAGAAUGUUUUGUUUGUGUUGCAUUGAGUUUGUGAAUCGGUAGUUGCCCAUUCCGUCGUAUUGUGAUAUGAUAUAUUGAUUGUUCAUAUCAUACUGUAGUGCAAUCCAUUUGCAUGGUACCUUUUGGAUGUCAAAUAUUGAGGGCUCCUUCGGUGCAAUAGAAUUAUACAGGGUCAGUAUCCCCGGGAAUAUUUUCAAUUUUAAUCGUCACCCAGGAGUUAUUUGCAUAUAUUUUGUUGAAGCAUUUUCAUCCACUCAAACUGUGGAGUUCGUUUGCUGUUGUUGCUAUCAAACACUCUUUUGCACAAAUUUCUCUUACAUGAUAUACAGGAGUAAUUCUGUGUUUUACCUUUCUCUAUGAAUAAAAAGAGGGCAUGUGACCCUUUUCCUGCGAAUCAAUGAGGACGUAUAGUCUAAGGAGGAAAAAUGGUCAGUAUUAUUUUCCUUGAUAAUUAUCAAAUCUAAGAUGCACUUCAGUUGUCCUUUUUGGAGAAAGGAAAAGAAAUGAGGCCAUAAAGAACGUGGGCGAAAUAAUGAAGCAGGAAAUCAAUGCACGGAAAUACUAUCUAUAAUCUGAAUACAUGCACUAAAACAUCAAAGGGUCCAUAGCUCAGUGGUAGAGCAAUUGACUGCAGAUCAAUAGGUCACCGGUUCGAACCCGGUUGGGCCCUUCUCUUCAUUAAAUUUUUCCUUUUUUUUGUGAAAUUUGCCACGCUAUUACACCUUAGUUAGUCUAUCAUGUAGGCCCCAAUUCCCAAUGGAUAUACAGGGGAAAAACAUGUGGGUCCCAAUUCCCAAAGGCAGAUGAUGAGACUAAUUAAUGACCAUGCACCGAUGAGAUAAUGGCUUCAUUCAUUCGUUCGUUCAUACAUCUGAUUCAGCAGCUGGCAUGACUGAUAACCUUAACACUAGUACACUGUACCAGCAAAAGAAAGAAAGAAGGAACAAUGCAGAUUAGGUGAGGAACUAGUGAUUGAAUGACUCCUUGCAUCAAGGGAGGAGGAUGUUGGUGCUGACGCUGCAGGAUUUGGAUUUCACACAAGACAUAGCUUAAGAUAAGACAUGAAACGAUGGCUCAUGUCGGUCGUGUGUAAUCAUUCUGCAACUGAAACUAAUGCACUCGCAAACUCAUUGGUGGGUGGUAUCACGUGGGUGAGAGCAAACCACCGAGUAAAACAAAACCGCUUUCAGUCGUGAUUGACGAAAACAAUCAUGUUUUUGAUAAAAGGGGAAGAUUUUAUUGACGCUGCUAACGUUGAAUCGAUCUGAAACGAACAUAAAGAGUUCAUGCCAGUUGCCGGGCAUGUGUUCGUAGGAACAACAGGUAGGUAUGUAUGAACACAAUAUGACAACAAUCAAAUAUCUAGGUCAUUUUCUUUGUAUACCAACAUAGGAAAGCAUAAGCUCGUGGAAUCCAACCAAUGCAAACUUCAUUAGAGUUUGCUUCGGUACACCCUUAAAAAGGUUGUUGCCAUAUUAGCCUGCAGAUCAAACAUAUUUAAUAGAUUCAUUUGGAUACACAAGUCUAUAUUAUCCUUUUUGAUUGAAGGGGUACCUUCUAAUUAAUCUUCACCUUUAAUCUGCAUUGAAAUCUUCAUUAUUCGAAUGGUGAGGAAUUAAAGCGGACUCUUGAAAAUUUAGCUUCAACGUACGUAGUUAAUGAUUGCAUUUAGUCCACUCUAAUGCACAACUUUUAUUCCUUUGGUUGAAUAACAUCCGUGAGAAAUAUGCAUGCACGAAACAUUGUUUUUCUACGUAGCUAAUUAAGUACUUUGAGAAACAAACGUAUCAAAUUACAUAUGAUUCUUUCUUUUAAUGCUGUACAAUACUAACAACAAUAAUAACUGUAUUACUAUGGAGAUCAUGUCAUAUGCAAUGUCGAUUCUAUGGAUCGAAUUAUUGUACCAUAUAAUGGAUUCUAUGUCUGAAAUGUGAGUAUUCAAAAGGAUACUAACAAAAUACAUGCAUUGCAUUUUAUGUAUCUGGUUGGAAUGAACUUUUGACCCGUGACCAUAUAGAACGCGGUCGCCUUUUUUCAUGGUAAGUUGCAGCCGAUUCCCCCUUCCCUUUCCUAGUAUCUUUAGGCAUGUAUGUAGUAUGUACAAGAGAAAUGAAAAACACAUAAAGCCAAUAAAAGCCGGUCUCCUAGUAUUUAACCCAAGAAUUCCCAAAAACAUCGCUAUUAUGCAAAAAAUGUGCAAUUGCACUAUUUAAAAAAUGACCAACUAGUUAAAUAUAUCAAUUGCACAAUUUUAAAAACGGCCAACUAAUUAUAUGCAAAAGAGUGCAGUUACCACCAUUUUUGUGUAAUUUUAAAAAUACCAACUAGUAGUAUACAUACUAAAAAACAAAUACUCCCUCUGUUCCUAAAUAUAAGUCUUGUUAGAGAUUCCAGUACAAACUACAUACAAAUGUAUAUAGACAUACUUUAGAGUGUAGAUUUACUCAUUUUGCUCCGUAUGUAGUCCAUAGUGGAAUACAUAAAAAGACUUAUAUGUAGGAACGGAGGGAUCGAGUAUAUAUUUUGAAUAUAUGUUUUUUUAAUAUCAAAACCCUUCCAAGAGUAAAAUAAAAACACACGUAACAUAGAACAACACUCCACUCUUUUCACAAAAGAAGAAGAAGCAAACAUGCCACAUUUCCCCACUAUCAAUCGUUGAAUUAAGGAUCGUUAAUUAAUCAUCACAAAAUAAGAUAGUCAAUUUCGACUAAUUCCCAAAAGAGGGUCCAUAGCUCAGUGGUAGAGCAAUUGACUGCAGAUCAAUAGGUCACCGGUUCGAACCCGGUUGGGUCCUUACUUUCUACUCUUUUUCGUGUUCCUUCUUUUUGUUAAGUUUGCCACGGCAUCAGCCUACCAUUUUUAUACUACAUGGUAAGAUAAGAAGAAAUAACAUCAUUUCACAGAACAAGUGGGUCCGAAUUCCCAAUGGAGUAGGAGAUAACGUUCAUGGAGCAAGUAGUUUUGCCAACACAAAACAAAAGGAGAUAACCGGCCCAGGACACCUGAAAUCAAUGGAGCUAAGCAAGGGAAAUGAGUGAGAUAAUGACCAUGCAUCUGAUGGAUGAGCAUGAAUGAGAACCUUAACAGUAGACUGUACACCCAGCAAAAGAAAGAAAGAAGGAAAGAGCCAGAUUAGGUGAAGAAGUAGUGACUGACUUCUUGUAGGACUUGGGGAGGAUGUUGGUGCUGACGCAGGCUCCACAAGUCGCAGGGUGAAGAAGAUUUGUAGCUCAAGACAUCACUGAUGGCUCAUGUCGAUCAUGUGUAAGUGUAAUCAUUCUGCAACUGAAACUGAUGCACUCCCACAUGGUUGGGUGGUAUCACGUGGGUAAGAGUACAAACGAUCGAGUACAACGAAACUGAUUUCAGUCGCAAUCGACGAAAACGAUCAGAUUUUCGAUAAAUGGGAGAUGAUAUAUCGACUCUCUUAACGUCAGAUCGCGAGGCGAAACAAACAUAAAGAGUUCAUACACACUGAUGCCUGUUAUAUAUUGGGAAAGAAAACUGCAUUCAAAUACCCAAGUCAUUUUUCUUCCUUUAUUUAGUACUAAUUGUAUUAGUUUCAGGUUUUGAUACUGGGAAACGGUGAGACCCUCUUAUUGCUUAAUAUACUUUCCCCGCUACCUGAAGAACUCCGGACUCGAUGAACUUAUCCAUGUGUAGAAACGGCGAAAGGCGAUCAUCCUCCUACGUACGAUCCUUUUUUUUUAAAUGAGGCAAAAGACUUGCCAUUUUCAUUGAUUAAGAAGGAGUGAGAAUUGCCCGGUUAAUUGACGGAAAACCGAGCUAAAACCGAUACAAUCCAACCCAUAUAACAUGGGUACCACCGGCCAACCUGGCCACCGACAUGGGAUCACAGAGCUACAACAGCUGCACCAAAACCAUGACGGCACAUGCCAACAGAAGGCCACACGCGCGAACAACUGACAGCUCCGACUCUGACGACGAUCAUCACAAGGGAAUAUGCAGGACUUGCGCCGACCGUGCCCGAACGGGCACCUCGGACACGCCGGGAAGAUCCGACUACCGAAGCCCGAGCCGCGACCCAAGCUCCUCUCGACGCCAUCAUCGUUGCCAAACAGAAAUCAGCGCCCCGAAAUGGCCGCCUCAGCAAACUACACGGCGAAGAUGCCGCAAACCACGCGGCAAAGAUGCCGCAACCCACGCGGCGAAGAUGCCGCCAUCCACUGGUCUCCAGGUUGUGGCCGGCUCCGAGAUGAUGCCCCCAAGGAGGAAGAAGACGUGAAGGCGUCUUCAUUGCCCGAUCUCGAAGAUCUGAGGUUUCCCUCCGGAGCCAAGGCCGCGGGAAGGGGGGAGGAGCAGCACACAACAACAACGCUUCCAAGAAAGAGCACGACGCCCACGGGCGUCGUCGUCGCCAGAUCCGGCAGAGGCCGGACAUAGGAUUUCUCCCGGGGAUGCUCAACCACCACCUGCCCGCAUCAACGCAGCCAACGAACCCCAUCCUGCCGAGGCCGACCUCGAACUGGCCGUGGGAUCCCGAGACCCACCACGCCCAGAUGCGCGCACCCCCCCCCCACCCGAAGCCGCUUCCACCAAAUCCGGGGCCGCCGCCCCGGCAGCCGCCACCACGCCGGGCUAGCAAACUGGCCAGCUCCUUAGCACCAAGCCGGGAGGGGGGGCCGCCACCCCGCCCCAACCUGCCGAGCAGGGCUGUUGGGCCGAAGCCGGAGCAACCCACUGCAGCCGCNNNNNNNNNNNNNNNNNNNNNNNNNNNNNNNNNNNNNNNNNNNNNNNNNNNNNNNNNNNNNNNNNNNNNNNNNNNNNNNNNNNNNNNNNNNNNNNNNNNNNNNNNNNNNNNNNNNNNNNNNNNNNNNNNNNNNNNNNNNNNNNNNNNNNNNNNNNNNNNNNNNNNNNNNNNNNNNNNNNNNNNNNNNNNNNNNNNNNNNNNNNNNNNNNNNNNNNNNNNNNNNNNNNNNNNNNNNNNNNNNNNNNNNNNNNNNNNNNNNCACCUGGCCGUGCCCGCCUGCGCACCGCUCGCCGCCACCCCGCGCUGCCUCGCCGCGCCGCCCCGAGCGCCAGCGCGCCCGAGCUCCCUCUGGAGCGACCGACCCGCGCCGCACCAUCUCGAGCGGGAGGAGGAAAAAGGAACCCCGCCGCCGCCGAGCCGCGCGGGCUUCGCCCGGCGACUCCUGCCGGCGGCGGCGAGGGGAGGGGGGCGGCGGGGUGUGGCUAGUGGCGGCGGCGGCUAGGGUUCGCUCCUGGCCGCCCGCGGGAGCGACCGAGGAGCGACCGAGGAAGUGCUCCUUUCUAUAUCGUCUCUAGCUACUUUUUUGUUUUGUUUCGAGACAGACAAUGCAAGCAAGGGCUAAAGACAGACAGGGAGCCAAGCUGCCAACAUCUGCAUGCAUGCAGCCAAAUCGAUCGGGAGGUGCAAAACUAAAGGCACCGUGAAAUCUGACGCUGCGUGCACUUACGGCAAUACUACAUGUUAAGUCAUCGAUGGGACAACACUAGCUAGUACACACGAAUUUUCAGAACCUAGCAUAUAUAGGUUAUCUAUAUCGAUUGAUGUAGCCCGUCAGGUUAAAAGCGUGGGUCAGACAGAAAUACAGAAUGUAUACUAGUAGCUAGCUAGGCUUUAAUCAGAAAUGACUGUAAUUAAGAAAGAUGGGCACUGAGAAUAAGUUUUGUGAAUCGAUCUCUCUUUCUUGUCUGUCCAAAGGCCAUUAGUGUGGAUUUGGGCCACGUGUAGACAGUACGUUGGAUCGAUCGAUAUACAUAUAUAUAUAUAUGCUAGCUAGCUAGCUGCUAAUCCCCACGGGAGCGAUCGGAGGCUGUGAUCGUCCGACAUGUUCAGUCGCCGGCCGGUCGAGCUUGCAUAUGCCUAGCACUAGUACCAGACAGAUAACUACUGCAAGUUGGACGCAUUUGCUAGCUCACUAGCUGACCCCUUUUUCUCUGGAGAUUAAUUAGUAAGUAGAAGCAUUUCUUCUCCUUCCCAACUGUCUGUCUGAAACUCUCUGUACACAACCAUUCUUUUUUUUUUAAACACAGUACAGACGCAAGUGCUCAUAUACACGCGCAUACACUCACCCCUAUGAACGCACACCCUACCCCUAUGAGCACCUCCGAAAGACUGAGCGGGAACGUCUCCUCCCACUGAAUGCGCAUCGCCGGAAAUCCUGAAAUAAAUUUAGGAAUAAAUGCGAGCAUCGACGGGAACGUCUCCUCCCACUGAAUGCGCAUCGCCGGAAAUUCUGAAAUAAAUUCAGGAAUAAAUGCGAGCACCAGGACUUGAACCUUGGUGGGCUGGGGAUACCACAGUUCCUCUAACCAUCCAACCACAGGUUGGCAUACACAACCAUUCUUAGCUGAUCGUGCAUGUAGAUUUCCUAACUCCUUGCUUGUGCUAUUUACCAAUUGCAUACAUGCUAUUUUCCAAAUUUUACAGGCCCCAGACCACUAAAAUCUGGACCCUAGCCCGAUAAAAUCUUGAAAUCUCAGAGGCUCAUUUGACUUGAAUGAUUCUAUGUGUACAAAUUUUGACCCCACAUUGCAAGUGGGCCAAGAAAAUACCAAUGUAUAAAACAUAUGUGCUCUAAUCCUUAUUUUGCUCAGAAAAAAAGGUGCUCUAAUCCUUAUAGCACAAGCAAAGAGAGCAAGAGCGCACACACGCUCACCUGACUCACCCUACCAAACACGUGUCGCGUAAAUCGAGUUUGAGCCAGUGGUACUCUACCUGUUAGAAGAGUUAACAUUUGAUUGCUAGUGUAAAUCUCUAGGUAUAUGCGUCAAUAUAUGCUCCAACCUGUUGAUGAAACUUUCCUUGCGAAAGGAUACAUAAGGGAGAGCUUAUGUAGAGGAAGGGGCAUGGUUGUAUAUGGCAGGGCAUACCUCUCAAACCGCGCCUCUUGAGAACCUGCAUCUGUGAGAAGAGAAGACUUUGCAACCAACCCAUAUGGUUCAUAUGCGAAAAUGCUAGACGCAACUAGUUACUAGUCCGUCAUAUGUGCUAUGCUGUAGUACACUCAUCGUGUUACGACUAGUUUGAAUACAUGAUCGAGGAGGACAAAUCAAAUCACGCUCCCUUCGUCUAGAUACAUCCAUUUGAGCGACAACUAAUUCCGGACCGAGAAAAUAGUAGUUUGAAUACGCAGUCGAGGAGGACAAAUCAGAUCAUGCGUUUGUGUCCACAAUAGUAAUUAACUAACCACUUGAGGUAAUUAGUAGCCGCCUUAAGAACUACUAAAUGUAGAUAUUUCAUGCAUGUCGAUCGUUAGCUAGAUAGUGGGCUGGGAGAUCCAUCCCACUUGGCGUGCUCCUUGCAGGGCAACAUGCAUGCACGUAUGGUGUGUGGUGUGUGAUAUUUCCGGUUCCAGCAAGUUGAGCCAGCUUUUCCCCUUAAUUGGCAAUUUGGUGAUUAGGUUCCCUAAUUUAUAUGCUCACUACCUAGACCACUUGGGAAGCAGUGGAGCUAAUCAAUCAAUUGAACAAUUAAACAGUGGUUGAACUUUUUAACCUCAUACUGCACUUAGCUAGAGUAUUGUGGAUCUUCCUACAUAUGUUCAGCCACUGUUUAUUAACGGAUAUGAUCAGUGAUUGAGCUUUGCAAAAGCACUACGUACUUAGUUAAGGAACUCGUUGAAAAGGGGAGCUUAUUUAAGAAAUUAGUACCAAACAAAAGUAUGCCACAAACAAAUUAAAAGAUCCACCAUGAGAUUUAGGUUUCUUUUGUUGUCUUGGCCGCCUCGUGGGAGUGCAACCGUGCAUGCAUGCUCACACUUUGCAGAGAUCUUUUCGAUUUCUUGGUGCACCAUAAAUAUGAAAGUAAUAAUAAAUCUUGUUCUAAACUCCCUCCUUCUAGAUGUUUAUGCCACACCAAAGUAAAAAAAAAAACCUCUAUAGCAAGGGAGCACGGAUCUUGAUGCAAAGCUGAAUGGCCUAGAUAGAAGGAUGCGCCACUCUCGUCGGUUAAGCAGGCCCCUUUCGUUCCGAAAGGCGAUAAAAACCCUAGAGUUUGACAUGUGGAAGAGAUGUGACAUGUGGAGUAGUAUUCUUUUGUGUCAUCCAUGGUUGCUUGCAUCAUGGCAGCACACACUUGGAUCGUGCCGUACACAUAUAUGCCACGCCCCACCACGAAAUGUUCCACGACGGAUGCCAGACCGACACAUCAUCCUAUUUAAUCAUAUCGCGUUAGCUCUCUCGUGCGUCUAAUGCUGGCUAGGGCCAAUCGCGUGGGAGUACCGGCUGCGCCCCCUUCUAAUCAAUCGCACGGUUAACUUAAUUAUACUAGUUAAAAGAUUAAUCAACAUGUUGAUGAAAGGCUGAAGCUGACACUUGCCUAAAGUGCAUAUAAUGAAAGAGAGCAGUCGACUAGAGCCUUAUUAACAUCUGUACUUUAGCUAGCAGCUAGCUCUGAAAGUGGCAGUGUGGGUUGAUUAGUCAUACUCCCUUCGUUGCAAAUUACUCCCGCCGUAAAGAAAUAUAAUAGGGAUCGAGUAAUUAAAGUCGUAGUUUUGUGAUUUUGUCCUAAGUCAAGCUUUUUUAUGUUUGAUCGAGUUUGUAGAAAACUGUGCUAAUAUCGACAAUAUCAAGUUAAAACCCGCAAAAAAAGACAAUAUCAAGUUGGUUUCAUUAGGCUCGUCAUGAUCUCGAUAUAUUUUCAUUACUCCCUCCGUUUCAUAAUGUAGUGCAUAUAGAUUUUUAAAAAAGUCAAACUUCACAAACUUUGACCAAGUUUGUAGAGAAAAACAUCUACAUCUAGAAUGCCAAACAUAUAUCAUUAGAUUCAUCAUAAGACUAGUUUCAUAUUUAUACAUUUGAUAUUGUAGAUAUAAAUAAUUUUCUCCGUAAACUUGGUCAAAGUUUGACUUAAAAAAAAACUAUACGCAUUACAUUAUAGAACGAAGGUAGUACUAUAUGCAUUUGAUGUUGUAGAUAUUAGCAUAUUUUUUCUACACACUUGGUCAAAAUUAAGGGCAUCUUUGAUUCACAGGAUUUGGAAAAACGCAGAAUUAAAGAAAAAUCAUAGGAUUAAAUGACGUCAUGCCCUUUUGAAUCCUACAUGAUUUUGACUUGUUUCAUUGCACCAGGAAAAAAAUCGAAAAAAUUCUUUUCAAGAGUUUUGAGUGCAUGCUAACAUUCCUAUCAAAGGAAAUCUUAGAUUUUUUUUUUCUAUAAAUGGUUCAAUCGCGUGAAUGAACAACCAACAUAGAAAAAAAAAUUCAUAAGGAUGCCAAAUUCAAAAUUUCUAGGAAAAAUCCUUCAAGUCGAACAGGCCUUGAACAGUCGAACUUAAGACAAAGCUAGAAGUUCCAAGUAACAUAUACGGGGCUCAACUGCUCCAUCUGUCAGCUGGUUUAGCUUGAGGCUCGAACGAUGGCCUAACUAUCCAGCUAAUCAGCGUCAGCGCACGAUUAGCACCGACGAGCACGCGCUAAUCACUGGUGCCUGACCGUGAGUCGUUAAUCCCCCCGUCCUAAUCGUGCCAGACCAGCUGGAAAAUCAUCAGGCAGUAACUAAUAUACUAGUGGUACAUAUGUGGUUUUGUGGAGACGAGAUGGAUCGGGGGUUUGUCGAUCAGUCUUUUUGACGAUGUGAGCAAAGUGCACUACCUUGACACCUUUUGGAAGCACACUCCAUAUAGUGUUCGGAGAUUGAGCGUCGGCAGCUCCGUGGAGACUGAAGGCUCAGGCUGCCUACCUUUGCCCAAUGUCAAGGGUUGAUCUAUCUGACAACACCCUUUUUUGACAGAAUUGAUCGGCGAUAUCUGAUAGGCUUUUAGCCAAAUCAUUUCGAAGAUUUCUUAGUUUAUCAUCAGGAUGCAUGUGAGUGCCUGCAUCUUUAUCGCGUUUUCUGAAUGAGUGACCUAGCUAUGAACAACCGCAGACAAUGAGGAUGCAUUUGGAUGCUCGAUGAGUAAUGAGCAUCAUGAUGCUUUAGUGGGUCGCCGCGGCGCCCCUACCUCGGUGGCGGGCGGCGACAAGCAAGCGAGAGGGAAAUGGCAUGAUCAAGAGGACCGGGUGAAGGGGGUGACCGCGAGGAGNNNNNNNNNNNNNNNNNNNNNNNNNNNNNNNNNNNNNNNNNNNNNNNNNNNNNNNNNNNNNNNNNNNNNNNNNNNNNNNNNNNNNNNNNNNNNNNNNNNNNNNNNNNNNNNNNNNNNNNNNNNNNNNNNNNNNNNNNNNNNNNNNNNNNNNNNNNNNNNNNNNNNNNNNNNNNNNNNNNNNNNNNNNNNNNNNNNNNNNNNNNNNNNNNNNNNNNNNNNNNNNNNNNNNNNNNNNNNNNNNNNNNNNNNNNNNNNNNNNNNNNNNNNNNNNNNNNNNNNNNNNNNNNNNNNNNNNNNNNNNNNNNNNNNNNNNNNNNNNNNNNNNNNNNNNNNNNNNNNNNNNNNNNNNNNNNNNNNNNNNNNNNNNNNNNNNNNNNNNNNNNNNNNNNNNNNNNNNNNNNNNNNNNNNNNNNNNNNNNNNNNNNNNNNNNNNNNNNNNNNNNNNNNNNNNNNNNNNNNNNNNNNNNNNNNNNNNNNNNNNNNNNNNNNNNNNNNNNNNNNNNNNNNNNNNNNNNNNNGUCCAAGUGCAAACAUACAUUGGUUGGUGAUACGUACGUUGUCCAAGUUCAUCAUAUGUAUGCAUUUUCUUACACCUAGCCAGGAGUAGUAGAUAGUUUUGGGCCAAUAAUAUCCCAGUGCAGACGUACAUUGGGCGGCGACGGCGUGAGCGGCGCCUUUAGUUUACAUUACCCUUUUCAUCUCACGCCAUUUGACUCUUAGCCCCUUGGCCCCUUGCGCCCUACCCUGCUAGCGACAGUGGAGUGCCGCUCCAACCCUCCAUGACCUCACCACCCCGCCAAGCCCUACAUAUACUACCCCCGAUCCACGAGCGUCCUCCUCAGUACAACCCAGCCCAGCCACCACCACCGCUGCAUGCAGGCGAGGCCUAGCUAGCUAGUGUCACUAACCAAGCAGAGCACUAACCAGUCUCACACCGGCGGCCAGCCAUGGCGCUCGCGUCCCUCCCCAAGGUGGUGCUCGGCUCCUUCGCCUUCGCCAUCUUCUGGAUGAUGGCCGUGUUCCCGUCGGUGCCCUUCCUGCCCAUCGGCCGGACGGCGGGCUCGCUGCUCUCCGCCGUGCUCAUGAUCGUCUUCCACGUGAUCAGCCCCGACGACGCCUACGCCUCCAUCGACCUCCCCAUCCUCGGCCUGCUCUUCUCCACCAUGGUCGUCGGCGGCUACCUCAAGAACGCCGGCAUGUUCAAGCACCUCGGCACGCUCCUCGCCUGGAAGAGCCAGGGCGGCCGCGACCUGCUCUGCCGCGUCUGCGUCGUCACGGCGCUCGCCUCGGCGCUCUUCACCAACGACACCUGCUGCGUCGUGCUCACCGAGUUCGUGCUCGAGCUCGCCGCCGAGCGGAACCUCCCGGCCAAGCCCUUCCUCCUCGCCCUCGCCUCCAGCGCCAACAUCGGCUCCAGCGCCACCCCCAUCGGCAACCCGCAGAACCUGGUCAUCGCCUUCAACAGCAAGAUCUCCUUCCCCAGGUUCCUCAUCGGCAUCCUGCCGGCCAUGCUCGCCGGCAUGGCCGUCAACAUGGUCAUGCUGCUCUGCAUGUACUGGAAGGACCUGGAGGGCGUGGCCCCCGACGCGGCCGGCAAGCAGAUGUCGGUCGUCGAGGAGGGCGGCCGCUCGCCGUCCGUGGCGUCGCUCAAGAGCCCGCACCCGUUCAACGGCACCACCGCCGACGACGGGAACGAGUCGAUGAUGGAGGAGAACAUCUCGACCAAGCACCCGUGGUUCAUGCAGUGCACGGAGCACCGGCGCAAGCUGUUCCUCAAGAGCUUUGCCUACAUCGUGACGCUGGGCAUGGUGGUGGCAUACAUGGCCGGGCUCAACAUGUCGUGGACGGCCAUCACCACCGCCAUCGCGCUCGUCGUCGUCGACUUCCGGGACGCCGAGCCUUGCCUCGUCAAGGUCUCCUACUCGCUGCUCGUCUUCUUCUCCGGCAUGUUCAUCACGGUGAGUGGGUUCAACAAGACGGGGCUGCCGGGCGCCAUCUGGAACUUCAUGGCGCCCUACUCCAAGGUGGACAGCGCCGGCGGCAUCUCCGUGCUCUCCGUCAUCAUCCUCCUCCUCUCCAACCUCGCCUCCAACGUACCAACAGGUUGUUACACAUGCAUGCAUGGAUUUUGUGCAGUACAACACUAUGAAAAUAUAUUGAUCUAAAAAGGGUGACACUGUGACAAGACAAAGCACUCAAAACAGUGGAAAAUAUCGAUCAAUUUCUGCACAUUCCAAACUAAUCAAAGUAAUAGUUAAUUAUGUUGGUGCGGCUGCAGUUAGCACACGCAGGCAUGCAUGGUGCAUGGUUUUUCUUUUCGAAUACAGCGGACCCAAAUUGCUAUCUAGUCAUCACUCACUCACUCAGUAGACUCUAGCUAGCUUAAAUAGUUAAUUUGGUGUUACUUGUGAUAAGUGACCAGUGGCCAGCAUCAAAAGACACACAAAUCUAGUAAUUCUAAGAAGAAUAUUUUUAUCUUCAGUCACUUCAAUACUCUAACUAUAUCACUACUAAUCUUAUACUCCCUCCGUCCCAAAAUAAGUGUCUCGAAGUAGAUAUGUAAAUUGUCCCCCUUCCCCAAAGCUUCGGCGGUGUAAGUGACGGUCCUGUGUUUUUGGUAUGUGCAGUGCUACUGAUGGGGAACGAGGUGGCGACCGCGGCGGCUCUGAUCUCCCUGGCGGCGGUGACUCGGUCGUGGCUGCUGUUGGCGUGGGUGAGCACGGUGGCGGGCAACCUGUCGCUGCUGGGGUCGGCGGCGAACCUGAUCGUGUGCGAGCAGGCGCGCCGGGCGCCGCGCAACGCCUACGAGCUCACCUUCUGGAACCACCUCAUCUUCGGCGUGCCCUCCACCCUCAUCGUCACCGCCGUCGGCAUCCCCCUCAUCGGAAAGAUGUAGCCACCCUAUCCAUCUACCAACAUCGCCCUCGCCACCGCCGACGGUCCAACUAUAUGCAAUAUACACUUUCCUUAUAUAUACCAGCAGCCUGUACAUACGUAUGUGCAUACACAAGCGUAUAUACGGGCACUUUGUACGUACGUACGUAUAGGUCAUAGCCUCCGCUUUCGUAUGUGUGUUAAUUGCUGUGUGCGUUGUUGAUUAAUUAGUAUAUGUAUGUAUGUAUGGUGAGAAGAGAAGGAGAGGGAGAUGAUUAUCACGCACGGUGUGCUAAUUAAUUAAGCAGUGCACUGUGGACUGUACUGGUGAUUAAUCUGCAUGGAUGAAUGAAUUUGGUUCAUCAGAUCAGAGAACACAUAUGUAUAUAUGCAAGUGCAACACAUGUGGUUGCAUGCAUUAUGCAUAUAUAUAUAUGCCAAGAUGUAAGGGAAUUUAAGUAAUGUUAUCUUGUCAUCUUGUGUGUGUGUAUGUGGCAGGUGGUACUUGAAGAAAAAAGAAAAGAAAUCUCUUGUUGGUUCCUCUCCUAAUUGUUAAUCACUACAUAAUACGAGCAUAAAAAUUUCAUAAGCUUGUUUGCUACUACUAAAAUAUACCAAAGUAUUGUUAGGCAGCUGUUGGGGGCUCCCAGAGACAGGGAAUCAGGUCCUCUGUCUCUUUGUUAUAAGAAUGGUGACAAGCAAGCGUCUCUUUCCAAAUGGCAAAUCUCACUGCCUUUAGUUUUGUACUAGUAUAAGAGGCAAUCAUAGUAUCUAAGACCUGCUCUACUGGCAUAGUAUAAUAAAUUAACCUCAUGCUGUUUGUCUUGCUACCAAGAUAGCAGCUACCCAACAGAAUAUACUCAUGCACUACAUAUGAAGAGGGUAUUCCCAUCUUGCAAACAAAAGCAAUUAUUCAGCAUCAAGUUUUUUAUUAUUAUUCCAGUGAUCAAAGGUUGGGACACAGAGGGGUGGUGAAUGCACAGAAGAGUUUUUGCCUUCAAGUCUCAUUUAUGCUGCUAAUAUCCCGGUGAUUACAUAUGUAGCAUGUCUGCCAUGUACUUGUGGAUCAAGCCUCUCCUCACAGUUGAAGCUAAAUAGAGUAAUUAUGAGUGAAAUAAUGCACGUUUACGCAAGUGUUGAUGAUGGUCAGUUGGAAUUAGCAAGGAUCUGUUCUCCAAAAGAUGAUCAUCUCCCCUUUGUAGAAAAAAAUAACGGUGGCAAGAUUUUAAACCUUGAAUCCCCAAAACCCAAAGUUACGCGUCCUAAACGGGGCUUCAGGUUAAGAACAACACAGAAGAAUCUUCAAACAGAACUAUAGUUUGUUCAGACCCUCAAAUUCAUGAGCUGGAAUUUGAUGCCUAGUAAUGUAUAGAAUAUUUGGCGCAAGCGUAUACAGUCGGUGAUUGACAAAUCUUGUAAGAUUGAGUCUUAAGUAUAUAUAUGCUCUAGUGUCAACACUUAAUAUUCAAAAGUCUUAUCUUUUUUCCCCAUUACGCAUUUCAAAGGAAAAUGUGCGGAAUACGCAAGAGUAUAUUCUCCUCACUGGCAUUAAUUAAUCCAAGGGAAAAAGGGUCAACAAAAGCUACAUUUAAUUAACGGCCUCUCUCUGCAGGAAAUGGCCAACCAAUCCUUAGAUAGUUCCUGCUAUAUAACUUCAUAUCUUGCUAACCACCCCUCUUCUAUAAUUCACAGGGUGAUGCGAGGCUCGCCUGCUCCAAUGCCCAUCUGACAACACAUUUUUAAAAUUGGUGGAAUACUUUUAAGGAUGACGCAACCUUCCUAUAGUGCAAUGGACUUCCUGUGCAUCUGACAACACAUUCUCCACUUCAUAAAUAUAAAUAUCUACAUCAUAGUUUAAAAUUGAAAUGGCAUUUCAAGAGUGAUGCACGCAGGCAUGCCACUACGAUACUAGCGUUGCGCAUCCGACAACACAUUUUUCGGUACUGUAUAAAUAUCUGCAAUAUAGCAAAUAUUUUCUAAGAAUGACGCUGGGAACUCACCUGCCAACAACCACCAUCACACAUGCCAACUGCACCACCAUAUAACUAUUGCUGAGGCAGGCGCCAAUUGGGCAUAUGCAAAUGCAGGCUUGGAGAGUCUCCCCAGUGACCAUGGCCACGCAUGACCUGCACAAGUGUCACUGCGAUAACCAAAUUAACUCAUAAUGUGGUAAGAUAUGAUAUCUUUGCGCAUCACUUGGAAACGUAGAAAGUAUCUACGAAGGACUCCUGAAGUUGUUGCAUCGCAGUCGUAAUAGUCGAUACAUUACGCAGUUACUUGAAUGACAGGACGCCAUCUCCGCCUUCAUCGCCGACCUUCGAUCGAUGGCCGUCCGCCUGUCGCCGCCGCCCCCGCCGCCUCCUCCAGAGCCUGAUUAGAUGUUUGCCGUCCCCGAGGCGCUGGCCCCGGCUGCGCCUCUUGUGUUCUCUUGUGUGUGUUGUGUUGGGCUUGUUGAGCUGUGCCCUCAGCAGUACCUUUGGACCUCUUGUUGUGUGCGUGGAUGUGUGUGCUCUGUACUAGACCAUGUAUGUGUGCUCUUGGCGGUUUGCUUUAUUUAUAAAGCGGGGCGAAAGCCUUUUUCGGUAAAAAUAUCAAUUUACAGGAUGGAAAUAUAUAUUUACCAUAUUCAAGGGUUUUUACAGGACACAGCCUGCAUUGAUUCUUUCUACACUGUCUUGAUGACAGACCAAUCAAAAAGAGAAAGUAUGCUUAUUAGUACAAUUUUGAUAUAUCUACAAAUCUUUACACUUGAAGAUGACCUUUUCAGCGUAGUACCUUCAGUAAAGAGACAUGUUGGCGAUGAACCCUUUUCAGCUAGCUGACAUCAUGGUACAGGACAAAUAAUAAGACAUCAGAAGGGGUUAGAAUCCAUAAAUUGAUUUUAAGGAAAACAUAAUUUAAAAAUAUAAAAACAACAUCUAAAGUGAAGCAUAAAAUAAAAAUGAAAUGCACUUUUGUACCAUAUUGUGAAACCGGAAUUGUGUUUUCUGAAUAAAGAGGGACCAAUGAAUAACUAUGCAAUCGAGAUAUAUUUACUUGAGGCAUUUACAGGUUAUACAGUGCGAAAUGACCACCUACAAAAAUAUUUCCUAUACUUGAGGCAUCUAAGCAGAGAGUGGCUGCUGCAGCCUGACAUCAAGUAUUACAUACAGUGACCAGAACAAAGCCAUACGCAUGAUGGCUGAAUGUAUGCAUACUGUCAACAACAUCUCAGUAGUCAUGUUUGCACGGCUCCAUGAGUGACCUGCGGAAGAGCAGAAGAUUAAUUACUGUUGCAACAGAGGGUUUAAGGAAAGAAAAUCAAGUAAUUCCAUGUCUUAAUCUAGCAGUCUCCUUACAAAUUAUAACAGGGGUCAUGAGCACCACAAAGUUAUACAGCCAUAUCAAUCCUGCUCUGAGGCAACCAACACCCUUUGGUAGUGCCAAAUCAAAAUCACCAUAUACGGCUUUAUGGGUUGCCACCUGACAGAAAACAGUUGAUAUAAUGAGUACUGAGAAGAAAAAUGCCUAGCACUAAGAAACUUUACCAUCUCUAACAAUACGAUCUUCAUAGGAUGAAUACAAAUCUGUUUUCUUUUCUUUCAGGGGGUGGGGGACUGAUAGGAGGAAAGAAUGGCAUGAGGAGCCUACUUGAACAAUUCCUUAAUCGCAGAAGAUUUAUUCCAUACAAUGGCUUAACUCUAAACAUGGUCAAUUGUUAGUCAACCAUUCCUUGCCAGACACAUUGAUCCUGUGCCAAAUUAUCAUGCUAACAAGAACGCCGAAGUUUGAUGAAAUCAUCAUGCAACUGAUUGAAUGGUCUCAGAAAACAUAGACAUAAGAGGAAAUGAGCUCACCAUCUGAGUAAAAAUAGAAGUACAUGCUGCAACAGGUCCAGGACAUCUGAUAAGGUAGCAAUCGUCAAAAUGAACAAACAGUACAACAGUCUGAUUCACUAUGCUCAUCUGAAGGAACAAAGCAGCUUUAAUUUCUUCAUUGGAGCCCAUCAGCGAUCUACCUUCAAAUUUAUACUGCCCAUGUACUAAAACAUCAGCUAACAGCUCCAAAACCAAAAUAAUGUGUAUAAACCGGAAGAAAAAAAGCUCACUGAAAAGAAGCCUGUAAGUGUUGCCGCUCUGAAAAAAAUGGCUGUUCUCAGAAUGAUGUAGCUACCAGAAGCAACACCGUUUGCAAUGAUUUUCUUAACUCUCCAUCUAUGUGGUGAAUUACUCGGUUCCACCCUUUCAAAUAAUAUUGCAAAGGUCAAGUAAAAAGGACAAUAACAAUUGAACACUGAAAUGGAGAUACAAAUAAUACAGUCCCACCGAUCCAUAAUGCAAGUAUUUUUAGCAUUUUCAACUUUAACCGAACUGUAGAUCCUACUAAGAUCACACUGAUCUGUUUCUCAUGUUGUUCCUAUUUUGCUCCUCAUUCAUUUCAUCAAGAAUUGAGCCUGUAAUUCAGGAAAUUAUGGUAGUUGGGAGGAAAGAAAGAAAGUUGUAGAAAUAACUGAAGGGUAGUAUUGGCAUUGCACAUACACCCUUAAUCCUGUGGUGAAGUCUAAAAGGACCUAUAUUUUGGAUUGGAGGGAGUAUAAUGUAGAGUAAGGUUGUGGACGUUUUGCAGUUGAAACUCACAAUAGCUAAAAGUGGCAAUCACCAAAGCCAGGAAACUUGACAAGUUAAAGCUCCACAAGAGUAAAAUGACAUGGACACCAACCUUCAAUAAAAUUAAUGAUCCAUGUUAGCAUUGCACAAUACAGUCAAUUAUAAAAACUAUUAACACAAUAUAUAGUCAUAAUUGUACUCACAAGAUGGACAGUUGAUGACACAGUGUAGAUCUGCAACAAAAGCAACAUAUUGCGAGUGAUCAGCCAUCUAUCAUGAUUUAGACAACAAAUACCAUGUGAGCAACCAAACCUUUAAAUACAUUCAAGUGACAUACCGUAUAACCCCUCAUAACCUGACAGAUCUCCCUACUGAUUUGCACAGCUGAUGAAAUAGGUAACAGGGAAGGCUGAUCAAAACAAGAUCAGAUUCACUUUUGGUGUAAUCAGUGGCCUCAGCUACUGAAAUUCCAAUAUAGCUUUCACCAAUGGCAUCAUGAUCAAGAAAUUCAUACCCAACCAUUGCACAAAGACAUCCGAAAUCUCUUAGCCUUCUCACUAUAUCACUGUUAUCCUCUGCACUAAUAAAUCAAGAUAGCAAAAUCAUAAGACUAGUUCCUUUGUGCCUUCCACACAUCAAAGCCUAAGCGUUAUUAAAAAUGUGUGCUGUAACUUUCUUGAGAGGAUAGAAGUACUACUCAAACUGUCAACAUAAACAGAAACUUCUUCCAAAGAUACAAAGGAAAUGUGAAAAAAGGACAUCGCUCCAAAGAUAAGAACAGACCUGGCAAGAGAUCGGAAAUCCCAUUGAUGUUUAAGUGAGCUUCUCUGUUAUUAUGAGGUAACUCCAACACCGAGUGGGCAGGUAACACAUUGAUGCCUAGUUUUCCAAGCUUUCCACAUACUUGCUUUGUACAACACCGAGUAGUCAACAAUGGGCUUUCUGAGAGAGAAAAUGAACUGUUUGCUGAAGAACUAUGUAUUACAGGAAAUGACAAUAGCUGAAACAAGACAGCUGAACGGUUGAAUAACCUGUGAGGAUUCUAAUAUCCAAACCGAAAUUGAUAAGACUAUCAAUAGCAUCUACGCUAUCACUUCUAAGGUCAUCUCUGAAAGGUAGAAGACCAAUGAACUCCCAGCAUGAGUCUACCUGGAGGAAAAUAAUAGAAAUUAAAUGAAACAUGCAAUAAAUUUGGGCAUUGCAGAGUUCUAAUGUGAAAUUCAGUUGCGCACCUGGUGUCCUACAGCUAUGGCUUGAUACCAUCAAGAGCAAAACUAUCCAUUACCAUGCUUAUUUUCUCUUUGACUGCUUUGUUGCAGCCACAUUGAUGAGCCACCUAUAGCAUGAAAACAAAAGAUGACCAAGGAAUGAGCCUGUACUAACCAAAACAAAAGGUGCAAAUGCGUGCAUGGUGAUGGUAGUGGGGCUUUGCUUAUCUCUAUGCGUUUUUGACACUGUGGCUUGCCUUCGCAGGAUCACCUUUGAAUACGCAGCACUUGGAUCCAUUGCUAUCGAUGUAUGUAGUUAGGAACAUCAACUUCAGUGCAAAAAAGAAGCGGGCAUGGUGCUCUAAGACCUCAAUACCAGCUCUUGCCUACAUUAUCAGUAUGCUUGUUAAGUUUACCAAACAUUAAUACACAUAGGCGUUAAAAGACAACUUAGUGAGAGAAAAGGAACCUGUUCUGGAUCAUCCAAGAGGCUCAGAAUAGCUGCAUCAAUUGACUCUAUACAGAAUUCAUGUUGAGAUCUUGAUGCUCGUGCAGCUAAUAUAAUAGCUUGAUCUUUGUCAACACUGUUAGCAAACAGCUCAAUCUUGUCCCGGAAAAAACAUGGCUUAUUACACGUUAUAGUACCAGUCAAGUUGAAGAGCAUCACAUCCGUACUGGCCAGAUCUUCAAGGGCAACUGUUCCGCGGCUAGCAAUUCUCAGAAAACAAAGCCUUAGAGAUCCCAAUGCUGAUGCCAGGUAGAGGACAACAGGCAUUGCCAUUGGAAUCUCACCAAUCAAUGGCAUAAAGUGGCAAUUGUGCAGCAUGUACUCAAGGUUGUGUUUACGGAAGAGCAAUAUUAAGAAUAGCUCAGCAACGGUACCAGCAAGUAUAAGGGAAAAGCAGAAGCAGCCAGCAACCAUGAUUCCCUCUUUAAGUUGCCCUGGCUGAGCAUAACGCUGUGGGUAGAGUCGCAGUGUGCAUCUAGUUCCUUGGCCACAUGACACCGUCCAAGCAUAAUAUAUGAGGAAGCCAUGCACACAAUCAACAGACCUUUUAGCCCAGCAAGUCAUCGUGGCAAUUUUCUGAAACCGGAGGACACGAGCAUUGGAAGGGACAAUGUCCCCAAACCUUGAGAAAUAUGAUAUCACCAGGGACCAGAUUUGCUGCGUGCACAUCUAUCCAACUCCCGUCUCUCAGCACCUUGGCCCUUGGUGCGUAUGCUUUGGCCUCCAGUGGUGUCUUAGCAUACUCCACAACAAGCUUUGCACUAAAGCAUGCUAUCAAGGUUGUAGCUAGUAAAAAGAUGACGGCAGCCAGCAUGUAAGAUCUCUGAUCAGCUGAUGUGAUGACGAGAGACACAACUGUAGUUAGUACAGUAACCCAUGACAUGGAAUUAAGUAUGACAGAGAUCAUGGUCUUGUACUCAGGGAGGACAUGAUGCCAUCUCCAGAGUGAGAAGAUCAUCAUCAGGAAUUCUCGAAACACGCUUCCAUCCUGCAGGAGCAAUAUAUUUGACCUUUAUGAAGCUGCAUUUUUUCAUAUAUAAACCUGUAAAGGAACUGAUACUCUACAAGACCUAGCUAACAAAUUCAAUUAUUUCCAAAUUAGAUACAAACUGUGUAUGGUAAACUAGCAACCAAUUGUGAUGCCUUUCUCUGCAUCUCUCAUCCAGAUCAACUAAUAGUGAACCAUUGCUUUGAUCAAAAUGAGUGGAGAGAGGUGAGCUGGGUACUACUGACGAAGGGGAACUCCCUGUGAUCUUCGAAACUAGAAAGAGAAAUACGAUACCUACAAUUUAGCAUAUUGAGUUGGACCAAUAUUCUUGCGGGCCAUCAAGGAACAUAGUACAAUAGAGCGAUAGGUUGACAAACGAACAUUCAGUGUGUUCUUUGAUCAAUAUUUAACAGCAUGACACUAACUUGUAAAGCAGCAGAGCAGAAAGGCAAUUGUACAUAAACACAGAGAGCACAAGUGGUGAGAUUGGCCCUCAAACUCGGAACAUCAAGCCGCGCAAUCUGACAAUCAUAGAUGGUGCGUUGAGCACCCUAGCUAUGCUGGGAGCGACAAGGUACCUCAACUGAAUAAAAGGGGGCUACAAGCAAAGUGAGAAGAUAGUCGGAUGGAGAGACAAACAAGCCAUGUAGUACCUGGGAAGCAAUGAUUGUUAAAGAUUUAGAGUAGUGGUGGUUGAACUAUGUUGAUUCAGCUGAGUAACCCAUCAUCACAGUUCACAACAAAGGGUGAUAGACUGAAAUUACAGGGCAGGCCGGCAGGCCAACAAUCUAAUCGCAAUCUGAGCCAACAUACUUAGCGCUCGUCUAGUCCAUGGACCGAAGGAUUGGUAAAUCAAUGCUGAAUUGGUGGUGUACUGAACUGAAUCAUCCUUCAGUUAUUAUUAAUUAAUACAAUGGGCGAUGAAGGGAGGAAGAAAGGCAGAGUAGUUAGAGGCGAGGACGGUCUCACCUUCCCGUGGUGGGAGCGGACGACGAGGUUGGGCCCGUGGAGGAGGAGCCGCCGCGCUGCCUCGUGGGCGGUGAGCUCGGCCCUCUCCUCCGUGGCCGGCCAGCCGCCGUAGCACCUCCUCCUCCUGCACCAUCUCCUGCAGUACCCACCAACGCCCACAUCAUACGACCCCGAGCGCGCAGGGUUACUCACGGCGGGCCAGCGAGGGAGCUCGCUCUCUCUCUCUCUCUCUCUCUCUCUCUCUCUCUCUCUCUCACUCACCAGCUCCGCCAUUUCCUCCGCCGUCGCCAUCCCCGCCGGCCGGUCGCCUCCGCGCUCGAUCCUUAAAACGGCGGCCCAGUGGGUCAUAAGCGGAGCAAGAGGCAGGCCCAGGCCCAGGCGAACGACUCGCGGGCGGGCCGAGGCCCGGUGGGCCGGAUGGGCGAGGCAGAUGGAUAAGGGGACGGGGGCUGCGCCUGCGCCUGCGCACGCACUCCCGUGUCGCUUCGGCUUCCUCCGCUCGCCAUUUUCCGUCCCCAUUCGCCCGAACCGAACCAAACCGCAGGCAGGCGCACGCCCACCAACCAAAUAACACCACACGCCUCCUCCCUCCCUCCCCACCCCGCCCCCCUCGCCGCCGCCACUCGCCACCGCCGCCGCAGCGGCCCUCCCUCCCUCCUCGCCGCCCCCGCCGCCCUCCUCCGCCCGCUCGCUCCGGCCCCCCGAGGUACGCCCGCCGCCGACAGCCGCUCCAGUCCUCCUCGCGUCCCUGCCCGCUCCCGCGCGCCGCCGGGGCCUACUGGCUAGGGUUUUGGGCGGCGGCCCCGGCGACCCGCGGGGUUCUGGGAUUGGCGGCCCUCGCAAUCCGCCCAGGGCCCGCCGCGCCCUCCGCGGCGGUUUCUCCCCCGCUAGGGUUUAACCCCCAUUUCCGGGCGCGGUUGCGUUUCGCGCGCCGCUCGCGCCGUCUAGGGUUCGGCACUCGUUUCCCAUCCGUUUAGGGUUCCAGGGUCCGCGCGCCUGGGCUCGCCAGGCCUAACGGGCGCCGCAGGGACGAAUUUCUUUCUGUUGAUUUGAUUAGGAGUGACUUUUCCCCAUACGACUGUUUCCCAUUGCUGGAUGCCGAAUUCAAUUGGAGUCAAUUCCUUCCCAUUGACGUCUCUAAAAUCGAAUAAGGUGCAUAGAUUGGUUUUUCCAAUCUGUCCAUCACCGCAGAGUCCAGACAAUAGUUCACUGAAACCAUUAAACUGAUUGCUCUCUCUGCUGCGUAGUUUGCCGAAUCAUAUUUCUGUUGCUUAUUGCCGUUGAAUCUUUGAAGUCAUCAUCAUAUAUCAGAGUAAGGCGCGUACUAGAUUUUCCAAUAUGUCCGCCACUGCUCUUUGGUCCAUAUAAUACUCACUCCUCUUAAAACAGUAACUAAACUGAGGCUGUGGCUACAGAUGAGUUUGUCAGGUUUGACAUGCCACUCAGCUGUUGAAUGUGUGUGUAAUCCAUUUCGUUGGAAUUGUAUGCUUAUAUAGUUAUGCUGCGCAGAAUCGAUGCCGUGAGCCCAGCAGUACAUUUUCAGGCACAGCAGCUUGUUUCUUUUCUUGUGGCAAUUUUGAUUAUGCACCACCUUGGGUACAAGGGCUUUAGAUGUGAAAUCUCUCUUCAGAUAUGGUUAUCACUUGCUUUUGCAUAAUCCAAAGAAAAUAAAUUAAGUUCAUUGUCUGUUCAGAAGAGUGAAUAAGGGAUACCUGAAUUUUGUAUUUGCACAGUUAGUUGCUGGCCAUAGGAGUACUCGGUGGAGGAAUACCUAUAAAGGAGUUACUUGUAAAUUUUCUGCUGCAUCCAGUUUCUCCCAUAUAUUUUUUCUGGCAUUGGCAAGAAUGUCAGAAAGUGAGUUAUCAGUAAUAAAACCAGAGGUAUGACCCAUGCAUUUAUAAGUUUGGACUUCGUUUGCCUUGGAGGAAAAUACUCAUUACUAAUUUUAUUAUCAACUUGCAGUCGUUGAAGACUUAUAUUUGGCUUCAGUGCUUUGAUGGAUCCAUACAGCAAGUGGAGGAAGAGGUUGCCAUGUUCUGCCCUAUGAUAUGUCGAGAAAUUGUCAAAAAUGGCACAGGAUCAUCCAAAAAUCAUGCUAUUGCUCUCCCAGAAAGAGUUAAUCCAUCAAGUUUGAGUUUGAUUCUUGACUAUUGUCGGUUUCAUCAAGUCCCAGGGCGCUCCAACAAGGUACCGUAUGUUGUAACUUCCUGGCCUCUCCAUUUUACCUUAUUUUGCUGCUUUCCCUUUUUUGCAUCUUCGACCCAUGGGCAUCGUGUAAGUUUAGAUUGUUAUAUACUGUUUUUGUUUCCUUAUUAAUCACAUGUUUCAACUAUUUUUCUUGGGAAAAAGGUUCACCGACUUGGAUGCUGUAUUCUGUUAGCCUUGUACAUUUUAUCAUAGUCGACAAGCUUACCUCUGUUCCAGUUAUCUUAUUAGGCUUUUCGUUUAUUGCGCAGGAGCGGAAAUCAUUUGAUGAGAAGUUUGUUAGGAUAGACACCGAAAAACUUUGUGAGCUGACAUCUGCAGCUGACAGUCUUCAAUUAAAGCCAUUGGUUGAUCUUACUAGUCGAGCACUUGCUCGAAUCAUUGAAGGGAAGACACCUGAGGAAAUCCGCGAUAUUUUUCAUUUACCAGAUGACUUAACGGAGGCAUGUAAACUUUUCUUUUUGAGGAUCAGCAGGAGUUUGCUUUAUUAAUUUGAAACAGCACUUACUGUCAGCUUACAAUACAUGCAGGAAGAAAAAUUGGAGCCACUGAAAAAUAUAAACGAUGAUCCCAGGAUUCGCUUAUUGAAUCGAUUGUAUGCAAAGAAACGGAAAGAACUACAGGAGCGCCAGAAACUAAAGGUAAUUUUGAUAGAUUUAACCUAUUUUGCAUGCUUUUGAUAUGUUAUGUCCUGUGCAAUGAUGUUUAUCUCUUUCGUCUAGUUGUCUUGCUCAUGUUUGAAUUUUACAUGUUAUGUUGGGUUUGUUUCAGGAUAUUCAGGUACAGCAAGAGCAAAAGGAUGAGCGGUCUUUGGACGAGUUACUUUGUUUUAUAAAUGGGGAUGGAGGUAUGUAACUGCACCGAGUUAUAUUGGUUAUAUCUUGUUCUAUAUAGUAAUCGUAAAUUGCUAACAAAAGUUGUUGUCCUGAACCAAUGCAUAUGCCUUGGCUAUAUUUCAAGGAUCAAGUUAUUACCGCAGUGAAUGCAUAUGCACAUAAUUCCCUGCCAGUUAGUAGUAAUUCAUCAUUUGGUCGGUCAGCUUUAAAUGAGCUCCCAUAUUUCAGUAACUCGUUUGUCCACUGGGUCUUACGGAUUUUAUGUUUGACUGGAAUGAUGAUUGGAAUUGGCUUUUGAAAAUGGUUAGUGUAGAUUGAAUUGUUCCAAAAUGUGGUGUGGAUACCUUGGUACUGUACAGCUUUAGAUUAUCUGUGAUUCGCUGCCUAGUACGAACAGUAAUGAAUAUAUUCUUGUUAAUGGGACAAUGCGGGAGUAGUGUGAUGGUUCUAAGACUAGUCAGCUGCAGGACCAAUCUAAUUUACGAUGGCACAUCUAUUAGGCACUUCUGAUUUGUCAACUAAUGUUAAGUAUUUUGUUGCUCCCUUGUGAUUUUCUUCUGUUAGAAGAUCGACCUAUUGGCUGAGCUUGGUUACCAUUUCAAGUUAAACCAAUACCUACAAUGCAAGCAUGCAACAUGGAAUCAUUCUCCAUCAGUCUUUCCUCAUAACUGCAUGUAACCAGCUGUCAACUUGACUGACAGGUUCUGGAGGUGGGAAAGCUGGUAAGAAUAAGAAAAAGAACAAGAGAAGGAAGGAUCCUAAGAAUCUCCCAAAGGCUGACCCUGAACAUGUAAAUAAGGUUAUAUUUUGUAACCCUAAUUUUUCAGUGUAUGCUAUGUGAAUAAUAUUUUAUUUCUUACAUCUUUCUAUCUGUUGAGUUCAGGAAGAAGGUGCCUGUGCGGUACCAUGCAAUGCUGGUGCUGUUAAUAAUAUUUCUAGAGCUCCUUGCCCAAGUUCAGAUGUGCAAGAUGAUAAUGAGUACCCCUUUGAAGAUGGUGAUCUUGAUGAUGGACUUGAUCCUGCAAUGCAGGAAGAGCUUGAUAGGUAAGGAAACUAUCUCUCUUUUGUACAUCUAUUCAGGCCCUUAGCUUAGUUUCUGAUUUUGUACUAGUUGACACAUUUUUUUUUCCUGAUGGGUUGAAGUGUUAUGGGGCGCUUAUUGUGCAUCUACUAUUGUGUUGCUCAGUUACAAAUAGAUGUUAUUUUCCUGAAAUAAUGAACCCCUUGAUGUGUUUGUGCUCACUAGCUGUUCAAUAGAAGUCGCCGUGUUUAGAAUUCAGAACUGAGGAUAGAUCAAAUGGUUCAGCUGUAAUAUGGAGCAAGCUAAAUGUUUGCUAGUACUUGGGCUCACUGCUGUUUAUAUUUGAUUAUUCUAUUGUUAUGUGUACUGAAAAUGCUAUAACGAAUUUACUGCCCAUAUUCCUGUACCAAAGCCCUCAUGUGAAUUAAUGUCAUGCUUCAUUUCUGAACAAACAGGGAAGUUGAAGAUUUCGCUAGGAGGCUGAAUUCUGUUUGGCCUGAAAGAAUGCAUUUGGGUCAAGAAAGAAGAAUUGAGUCGCAGCUGAUUGGUGGUAAUGGUUCUCUGCAGAGAUUUUCUGGUAAUUUUUUCCAUAUAGAAUAGUUGAAACGGGUAAAGGAUUUAGCCCACUCUACUGAAUCUAGUUUUGGAAGAACAGAAGGUUUUACAUACUACUCCCUCCGUCCCAUAAUAUAAGAUGUUGUAAUAACAUCUUAUAUUAUGGGACGGAGGGAGUAAAGGACAGUGUUUGGUUAGUCCAACGUAAAGUAGGAAUUACCUCAUUCUUGCACCAGCUCAUUCCAUAACCGGGUCAAGUGAUGAUUUGUAUGUGCCCGCAGGGUUCAAUCACAGGUGAAUGCCAUGCGGCAGGAUGAGCAAGCUGAAGCCUAGGAAAUUUGUGCACAUACAGCUUCGAAGAGAGGUAGAGACCGAAGUGAGCAGCUGCUGCCGAAAAGGCCUUGAAACUCGGAACCGAGCUUGCAGACAAUGUGCAUCUGUUUCCCUUUGCCAUUUUUGGCGCAGGGUCCGGCUCGUCAAAGUUGGGAUGAAGCAUAGCAAGGUUUUAGAUAGAUCAAGGGGGGAAAUUUUCCGGUCCGGUCGUGUUAUUUCUUGGAUAGCGUUUGUUCAUUCUGGGUCGACUCUGUUUUUUCCGUCGUCGCAAUUUUCCUGGACAGAGCAGAGUGUGCAACUGUAAGAAAUGAUGAUGUCGUGACUGCUGUGAAAGAAAUUCCGUUGGUUGGUACUUAUGCAAAGUCUGCUUGGUUGCUUCCUCCUGAUGGGACCAAAAAUGUGUGUGUGUGUGUGUGUGUGUUGCUGACGUUGAAAUACAGGAAAAUCAUGCGUCGCUACGAUACCUGUCUAACGGCUGUCUAUCUAGUUCAACUAUCUUCUGUUGCAACAACGGAAUGAGCAAUGUGACGGCCGCCAUAGUAUUAUUAUUAUUACUACAUGUCCAAACGUUUGUGUAUGACAAGAUUCGUGACAGGACACAUGCUUAGCUCAAGCCUCUCGCGCUUGUGAUUUUGCUGGCAUUUUCAUGUCCUUUUGAUAACUUGCACCUUCACCAUGCACAAAUGGUUCAGACAUUCUAAACAUAGGCGGCUUUGGUCAGCAAGAGGAUGCACCUCCGACGAUGACGGCGAGCCGCAUAUGCAUGCACGGACAAGCUCGCCUCCCCCUCACGGCAGCCAGCCACCGACAUCGCCGGACCAUUCUCCCCCCGUUUGCUGCCCCCUCUUGUGGUCUGCCCUAUAAAUUAAAGCAGGGCAGCAAGCAAGAAGAGGCACAGCGGCAACAAGGAACAGUUGAAGAGAAGAUGGCUUCUUCUUCCUCGUCGGUGCUGCUGGUUGCGGUGGUGUUGGCCGCGGUCGUGUGGGGCGCGCACGGCAUCCCCAAGGUUCCCCCGGGCCCCAACAUCACGGCGUCGCCUGCGAGCUACGGCAACAAGUGGCUGGACGCCAAGACCACGUGGUACGGCAAGCCGACGGGCGCCGGGCCCAAGGACAACGGCGGCGCCUGCGGGUACAAGGAGGUGGACAAGGCCCCCUUCCACGGCAUGACCUCCUGCGGCAACAUCCCCAUCUUCAAGGACGGCCGCGGCUGCGGCUCCUGCUUCGAGCUCAAGUGCACCAAGCCAGAGGCCUGCUCCGGCAAGCCCACCAUCGUCACCAUCACCGACAAGAACGAGGAGCCCAUCGCCCCCUACCACUUCGACCUCUCCGGCCACGCCUUCGGCUCCAUGGCCAAGAAGGGCGAGGAGCAGAAGCUGCGUGACGCCGGCGAGGUGGAGAUCAAGUUCCGGCGCGUCAAGUGCAAGUACCCGCCGGGCACCAAGGUGAACUUCCACGUGGAGAAGUCCUCCAACGAAAACUACCUGGCGCUGGUGAUCAAGUUCCUCCAAGGCGACGGCGACGUGGUGGGCGUGGACAUCAAGCAGAAGGGCGAGGACAAGUGGACCGAGCUCAACGAGUCGUGGGGAGCCGUGUGGAGGAUCGACACCCCCCACAAGCUCAUCGGCCCCUUCUCCGUCCGCUACACCACCGAGGGCGGCACCAAGACGACCGUCGACGACGUCAUCCCCAAGGGCUGGAAGCCCGACACCUCCUACGAGGCCAAGGGCGGCUACUGAAGCUGAUGAUGAUGAUUCUUCUUCCGGCCAGCUUAAUUAAUUAACUUCUUUUGGCUCCAGAAGAAGAAUAAACCAGCCGCACAUAUAUCAUACAUAUGAUGCGAUGAGAGCAUGAGUAUAUAUACUUAUUCAUUCUUUUACUAUAGGGAAAGAGCGUGGGCAACUAAUAAUUUCUUGUUUUGAUGUAUCUAAACUUGCUCAUGAUUGUAAACAUGUCUUAUUAAUAGAAAUUG
This 36554-nucleotide long non-coding RNA is filed under the name Triticum aestivum (bread wheat). RNAcentral describes it as "long non-coding RNA (TAES_LNC004915)". The stretch from base 9090 to 9161 matches the Rfam family "tRNA". The record is from RNAcentral. Lineage: Eukaryota; Viridiplantae; Streptophyta; Magnoliopsida; Poales; Poaceae.